AGUGAACGCUGACGGUAGGCCUAACACAUGCAAGUCGAACGGCAGCACAGUAAGAGCUUGCUCUUACGGGUGGCGAGUGGCGGACGGGUGAGGAAUACAUCGGAAUCUACUUUUUCGUGGGGGAUAACGUAGGGAAACUUACGCUAAUACCGCAUACGACCUACGGGUGAAAGCAGGGGAUCUUCGGACCUUGCGCGAUUGAAUGAGCCGAUGUCGGAUUAGCUAGUUGGCGGGGUAAAGGCCCACCAAGGCGACGAUCCGUAGCUGGUCUGAGAGGAUGAUCAGCCACACUGGAACUGAGACACGGUCCAGACUCCUACGGGAGGCAGCAGUGGGGAAUAUUGGGCAAUGGGCGCAAGCCUGAUCCAGCCAUACCGCGUGGGUGAAGAAGGCCUUCGGGUUGUAAAGCCCUUUUGUUGGGAAAGAAAAGCAGCAGGUUAAUACCCCGCUGUUCUGACGGUACCCAAAGAAUAAGCACCGGCUAACUUCGUG
Molecule: ribosomal RNA, 492 nt
Filed under: uncultured bacterium
Lineage: Bacteria
Description: partial 16S ribosomal RNA
Rfam family: Bacterial small subunit ribosomal RNA
Source: RNAcentral